UUUCAAAGUUUAAACAAUGAUGAGUCAUUUAAUUUUAAGACCAAAAUAACACCAUAUAUUAUAAACUAUAAUAUCAGAACAAAUUUAAUGUUAUAAAAACAGAGUUUACAAAUGUAUUGCAAAACAUAAAUGUUGUAAUUAGUAUGUUGUAAGGCUUGUUUUUCUUUACGGAAUGCUAAGAGUCGCCAGCUUUGACCAUUUUCCUCCUCCACAAGUUGGAUAUCUUUCCUCUCUCUUG
RNAcentral lists this long non-coding RNA (238 nucleotides) under Vigna radiata. Its description in RNAcentral is "long non-coding RNA (VRAD_LNC005189)". The record is from RNAcentral. Lineage: Eukaryota; Viridiplantae; Streptophyta; Magnoliopsida; Fabales; Fabaceae.